UUCUUAUAGAAUUUAAUUAUAAGUAUAACCUGCUCAAUAGAGAAAUCUUAAAUAGCCGCAGUUCCCUGUGCUAAGGUAGCAUAAUCAUUUGUCUUUUAAUUAAAGACUAGAAUGAAUGGUUGCACAUUUAACACCUGUCUCAAGAUACUCUCGCUAACCUAUUUUAAAUAUUAAAAAAUAUUUAUCAUCCAAAAAGACGACAAGACCCUAUCAAACUUUCACUAUAGUUAAGCUGGGGCAGCUACAUAAAAAAAACUUAUUAGUACUAUCACUCUUCAAAAACACGAUCUGCCAAAGGCAACAAACUGAUUAAGUUACUGUAGGGAUAACAGCGCAAUAUUUCUCUAAAGCUCUUAUCCCAAGAUAAGAUUGCGACCUCGAUGUUGAAUUAAUUUUCCUUCUAGACGCAACCGUCUACUAAGUAGGGUCUGGUUCGACCUUUAAAAGAUUACG
This is a ribosomal RNA of 453 nucleotides. It matches the Rfam family "Bacterial large subunit ribosomal RNA", at positions 1831 to 2600 of the family's 2925-position model.